CGGGGUGGAGUAAUGUCUGGGAAACUGCCUGAUGGAGGGGGAUAACUACUGGAAACGGUAGCUAAUACCGCAUAACGUCGCAAGACCAAAGAGGGGGACCUUCGGGCCUCAUGCCAUCAGAUGUGCCCAGAUGGGAUUAGCUAGUAGGUGGGGUAACGGCUCACCUAGGCGACGAUCCCUAGCUGGUCUGAGAGGAUGACCAGCCACACUGGAACUGAGACACGGUCCAG
Molecule: ribosomal RNA, 230 nt
Filed under: uncultured bacterium
Lineage: Bacteria
Description: partial 16S ribosomal RNA
Rfam family: Bacterial small subunit ribosomal RNA
Source: RNAcentral